This 486-nucleotide long non-coding RNA is filed under the name Anas platyrhynchos (mallard). RNAcentral's name for it is "lncRNA (ENSAPLG00020000923.1)". The record is from RNAcentral. Lineage: Eukaryota; Metazoa; Chordata; Aves; Anseriformes; Anatidae.
UUGGGAAUAAGCAAACUUCCACUGUAAAGUCUUUGGGAACCCAUUCAUCAGGCUGUACAUGUGAAAACACACAGUUUACAGGAAGAUAAGCCUGCAUCCAGUCCUUGUGAUGCUAAUGGGUCAGUCUUCCUGGUUAAUGAAACAGUCCAAACAAAGAUCAUUACUCCUAAGAAACUUGAAACUCCACAGAAGACCUCCACCAAUAUCUUAUCAAAUAGCAAUAAAGAACUGAGUGUUGAUGAGACGUGUGAAAAUAAAUCCAACCAGUCCUUGAGCCGUGAAUCAAAGUUGCUCAAAAACUCUACUGAUGAACAUUUGCUUUCUGCUGAGACAAAAGCACAUGACGUAUCAAAUACCAAUUCUGCAGCUCUUCAACAAGGUUCAGAAGAAGAAUUAAAUCCUGUUUUGAUGGCUUUGAAAAGGAGUGCAGAUAGGAAAAUGCCUUCCAAAAGUCUAGAGGACUAUUCCAUCAGCCACCUCAAAUAA